This 492-nucleotide ribosomal RNA is filed under the name uncultured bacterium. RNAcentral's name for it is "partial 16S ribosomal RNA". It matches the Rfam family "Bacterial small subunit ribosomal RNA", at positions 29 to 507 of the family's 1533-position model. The record is from RNAcentral.
AGUGAACGCUGGCGGUAGGCCUAACACAUGCAAGUCGAACGGCAGCACAGUAAGAGCUUGCUCUUACGGGUGGCGAGUGGCGGACGGGUGAGGAAUACAUCGGAAUCUACUUUUUCGUGGGGGAUAACGUAGGGAAACUUACGCUAAUACCGCAUACGACCUACGGGUGAAAGUAGGGGAUCUUCGGACCUUGCGCGAUUGAAUGAGCCGAUGUCGGAUUAGCUAGUUGGCGGGGUAAAGGCCCACCAAGGCGACGAUCCGUAGCUGGUCUGAGAGGAUGAUCAGCCACACUGUAACUGAGACACGGUCCAGACUCCUACGGGAGGCAGCAGUGGGGAAUAUUGGACAAUGGGCGCAAGCCUGAUCCAGCCAUACCGCGUGGGUGAAGAAGGCCUUCGGGUUGUAAAGCCCUUUUGUUGGGAAAGAAAAGCAGCAGGUUAAUACCCCGCUGUUCUGACGGUACCCAAAGAAUAAGCACCGGCUAACCUCGUG